GAAACCUCAGUCUCUACGAUUGCGACGACUGACGGUCAAAAGAUCAGGUGGCCUCGCGAAUCACUUCCUCAAAUUCCCGGAAGCGGCAUCCGCUGUCGGCACUCAGUCUCUCUCUAUUAAUUAGCUACGCAGACAAAAUGCCGAAACAAUCGUCAUGUCUUACCGAUCAUGAAAUAUGGGCUUUGUCAAGGAAUGUGGAAGUCUAGGUGGCGUAGUUUCAGCGAGCUGUCGGCGUUUCCACUGGGGCUGCUUCCUGAAGGCGGGGUGUCCCACGUGCCGCACUGCAUCCCCGUCACCAGCUCAUUCCUGGGUCGGCUUCAGCAGGGAAAUGAAAGUGACCCCCGCAGCAGAAAUCACCUCAAUCCUCCUUUCAAGCCCAGGGACAGUGAAGCAGGAGAGAAGCCCCUCGGAAAGAAGCGGCAAAGGGUUCGAGCUGGAGGAGGAUUGGUAAACAGACCUGCUGGCUCCGGUCCCUGCAUAACGAAGGUGAUUAGUCAUGAAUAGGGGGAACCCCAAAGUUAGGGUGUGACCUCGAUGGGGGACACCGCCACGUUGCUGUCACAGCGAGCUUCAGGGAAGGCCUGCAGGGAGGUAUUUCGAUAUCCUGUAGCCUGCCGGAAACACAGCAGAGGAGAGACCUCCUCUUUUAACACCUUUGGAGGACGGAGACAUCAAUCCUUCCUGGUCAAAAAUACCCCCUUCAUAAUGUGGGAUUGAGUCCUACAUUACAGGAGCAUCCGGCUUGGGGAAGAUGGCGUGUAGGAAGGAUCGCCAAGAGAAAUGCCAAAUAAAAUUGGAAUGCGCUAUUUUGAUAACCCGCUGGUAUUCACAUUGUCCUCUUUAAGCCUGAUGGAUGUUCCCCUAUCUCCAUCAGCCGGAUGUUUCCAGAACCAUCUUGUUUGUGCACGAUAGGCAUAUUAUGCACAUGAAUCAUAUCUAUUUUCAGGUAGCAUAACAAAUCUAAUAAUGGCGUGUCUGUAUCUUUUUAUUGCACUGAGACAAAUUUAUUGUUGGUAAGUGUUGGAACAUUGGGCCAAUUGGGCUAUUAUUGCAUUACUCUGCUGCAAAGUGUUACUUCCUGU
This is a long non-coding RNA of Paramormyrops kingsleyae, 1082 nucleotides long. RefSeq lists it as uncharacterized. Lineage: Eukaryota; Metazoa; Chordata; Actinopteri; Osteoglossiformes; Mormyridae. The record is from RefSeq and is a predicted model, not a curated record.